GGUGUAGCGCAGUUGGUAGCGCGCUUGGUUCGGGACCAAGAGGUCAUGGGUUCAAAUCCCGUCAC
RNAcentral lists this transfer RNA (65 nucleotides) under bovine gut metagenome. It matches the Rfam family "tRNA", at positions 5 to 66 of the family's 71-position model. From Rfam's summary of the family: Transfer RNA (tRNA) molecules are approximately 80 nucleotides in length. Their secondary structure includes four short double-helical elements and three loops (D, anti-codon, and T loops). The record is from RNAcentral.